This 325-nucleotide ribosomal RNA is filed under the name Massilia sp. CCM 8734. RNAcentral's name for it is "partial 23S ribosomal RNA". It matches the Rfam family "Bacterial large subunit ribosomal RNA", at positions 1362 to 1694 of the family's 2925-position model. The record is from RNAcentral. Lineage: Bacteria; Pseudomonadati; Pseudomonadota; Betaproteobacteria; Burkholderiales; Oxalobacteraceae.
ACGUUCAUCGGAGCAGGGUGAGUCGGCCCCUAAGGCGAGGCAGAGAUGCGUAGCUGAUGGGAAGCAGGUUAAUAUUCCUGCACCGUCGUAUGAUGCGAUGGGGGGACGGAUCGCGGAAGGUUGUCCAACGGUUGGAAGUGUUGGUUUUUGACUCAUAGAAGGCGCUUAGGCAAAUCCGGGCGCGGAAUUCAAGGGGUCGAGACGAGGAACUUAGGUUCUGAAGCAAUCGGAAGUGGUUCCAAGAAAAGCCUCUAAGCUUCAGUCAUACGAGACCGUACCGCAAACCGACACAGGUGGGCGAGAUGAGUAUUCUAAGGCGCUUGAG